RNAcentral lists this ribosomal RNA (242 nucleotides) under uncultured bacterium. Its description in RNAcentral is "partial small subunit ribosomal RNA". It matches the Rfam family "Bacterial small subunit ribosomal RNA", at positions 26 to 285 of the family's 1533-position model. The record is from RNAcentral.
AGAAUCAACGCUGGCGGCGUGCCUAACACAUGCAAGUCGAACGAGAAAGUGGAGCAAUCCAUGAGUACAGUGGCGCACGGGUGAGUAACACGUGACUACCUACCCUCGAGUGGGGAAUAACCUCGGGAAACCGGGCUAAUACCGCAUAACAUCUACGGAUCAAAUGCGAAAGCAGCUUGAGGAGGGGGUCGCGGCCGAUUAGCUAGUUGGUGAGGUAAUGGCCCACAAGGCAAUGAUCGGUA